Molecule: ribosomal RNA, 253 nt
Filed under: uncultured bacterium
Lineage: Bacteria
Description: partial 16S ribosomal RNA
Rfam family: Bacterial small subunit ribosomal RNA
Source: RNAcentral
UACGUAGGUGGCAAGCGUUAUCCGGAUUUAUUGGGCGUAAAGGGAACGCAGGCGGUCUUUUAAGUCUGGUGUGAAAGCCUUCGGCUUAACCGGAGUAGUGCAUUGGAAACUGGGAGACUUGAGUGCAGAAGAGGAGAGUGGAGCUCCAUGUGUAGCGGUGAAAUGCGUAGAUAUAUGGAAGAACACCAGUGGCGAAAGCGGCUCUCUGGUCUGUAACUGACGCUGAGGUUCGAAAGCGUGGGUAGCAAACAGG